GACGAACGCUGGCGGCGUGCUUAAUACAUGCAAGUCGAGCGGUGAACCUGACUGAAAGCCUUCGGGCUUGACGUUGGGGGAUCAGCGGCGGAUGGGUGAGUAACGCGUGGGUACCUGCCCUAAAGUCUGGGAUAACAACUCGAAAGGGUUGCUAAUACCGGAUGUGACCGAGAGGUUAAAGGCAGAGAUGUCGCUUUAGGAUGGGCCCGCGUCCCAUUAGCUAGUUGGUGAGGUAAGGGCUCACCAAGGCUGCGAUGGGUAGCCGGCCUGAGAGGGUGGACGGCCACACUGGAACUGAGACACGGUCCAGACUCCUACGGGAGGCAGCAGUGGGGGAUAUUGCACAAUGGAGGAAACUCUGAUGCAGCGACGCCGCGUGAGUGAAGAAGGCCUUCGGGUCGUAAGACUCUGUCCUAGGGGAAGAGUAAUGACGGUACCCGUAGGAGGAAGCCCCGGCCGUAACUACGUGCCAGCAGCCGCGGUAAUGAGUAGUACGA
Molecule: ribosomal RNA, 497 nt
Filed under: uncultured bacterium
Lineage: Bacteria
Description: bacterial SSU rRNA
Rfam family: Bacterial small subunit ribosomal RNA
Source: RNAcentral